This 497-nucleotide ribosomal RNA is filed under the name uncultured bacterium. Its description in RNAcentral is "partial 16S ribosomal RNA". It matches the Rfam family "Bacterial small subunit ribosomal RNA", at positions 28 to 507 of the family's 1533-position model. The record is from RNAcentral.
GAUGAACGCUGGCGGCGUGCCUAAUACAUGCAAGUCGAGCGAACGGACGAGAAGCUUGCUUCUCUGAUGUUAGCGGCGGACGGGUGAGUAACACGUGGAUAACCUACCUAUAAGACUGGGAUAACUUCGGGAAACCGGAGCUAAUACCGGAUAAUAUUUUGAACUGCAUGGUUCAAAAGUGAAAGACGGUCUUGCUGUCACUUAUAGAUGGAUCCGCGCUGCAUUAGCUAGUUGGUAAGGUAACGGCUUACCAAGGCAACGAUGCAUAGCCGACCUGAGAGGGUGAUCGGCCACACUGGAACUGAGACACGGUCCAGACUCCUACGGGAGGCAGCAGUAGGGAAUCUUCCGCAAUGGGCGCAAGCCUGACGGAGCAACGCCGCGUGAGUGAUGAAGGUCUUCGGAUCGUAAAACUCUGUUAUUAGGGAAGAACAUAUGUGUAAGUAACUGUGCACAUCUUGACGGUACCUAAUCAGAAAGCCACGGCUAACUACGUG